GUUGUGGCUCAGUAGAAGAGCAUUGGUUUGGUACACAGAAGGUCCCAGGUUCAACCCUUGGCAUCUCCU
RNAcentral lists this transfer RNA (69 nucleotides) under Sphaerodactylus townsendi. Its description in RNAcentral is "tRNA-Thr". It matches the Rfam family "tRNA". From Rfam's summary of the family: Transfer RNA (tRNA) molecules are approximately 80 nucleotides in length. Their secondary structure includes four short double-helical elements and three loops (D, anti-codon, and T loops). Further hydrogen bonds mediate the characteristic L-shaped molecular structure. tRNAs have two regions of fundamental functional importance: the anti-codon, which is responsible for specific mRNA codon recognition, and the 3' end, to which the tRNAs corresponding amino acid is attached (by aminoacyl-tRNA synthetases). tRNAs cope with the degeneracy of the genetic code in two manners: having more than one tRNA (with a specific anti-codon) for a particular amino acid; and 'wobble' base-pairing, i.e. permitting non-standard base-pairing at the 3rd anti-codon position. Lineage: Eukaryota; Metazoa; Chordata; Lepidosauria; Squamata; Sphaerodactylidae. The record is from RNAcentral.